UAAGUUUUCUAAUAUUUAUACCGCAGUGAAUAUUGAUAACAUGGCGGACGCAGACUCUCUACACGACAUCGACACGAGCUCAGACUUGGAUGCCGAUACUAGAGCCAUUGACGCCGAUGCAGAAAGCGAAGAGCAAACUGAGGACAACCAAGAUGCCACAGCAAGGAAAAAGAGUAAGAAGAAACGAAGGAA
Pomacea canaliculata is the source of this 192-nucleotide long non-coding RNA. RefSeq lists it as uncharacterized. The record is from RefSeq and is a predicted model, not a curated record. The transcript has 2 exons. Lineage: Eukaryota; Metazoa; Mollusca; Gastropoda; Architaenioglossa; Ampullariidae.